This 434-nucleotide ribosomal RNA is filed under the name uncultured bacterium. RNAcentral describes it as "partial 16S ribosomal RNA". It matches the Rfam family "Bacterial small subunit ribosomal RNA", at positions 29 to 507 of the family's 1533-position model. The record is from RNAcentral.
AGCGAACGCUGGCGGCAGGCCUAACACAUGCAAGUCGAACGAACCUUUCGGGGUUAGUGGCGGACGGGUGAGUAACACGUGGGAACGUGCCUUUAGGUUCGGAAUAACUCAGGGAAACUUGUGCUAAUACCGACUGUGCCCUUCGGGGGAAAGAUUUAUCGCCUUUAGAGCGGCCCGCGUCUGAUUAGCUAGUUGGUUGAGGUAAUGGCUCACCAAGGCGACGAUCAGUAGCUGGUCUGAGAGGAUGAUCAGCCACAUUGGGACUGAGACACGGCCCAAACUCUUACGGGAGGCAGCAGUGGGGAAUCUUGCGCAAUGGGCGAAAGCCUGACGCAGCCAUGCCGCGUGAAUGAUGAAGGUCUUAGGAUUGUAAAAUUCUUUCACCGGGGACGGUAAUGACGGUACCCGGAGAAGAAGCCCCGGCUAACUUCGUG